RNAcentral lists this ribosomal RNA (446 nucleotides) under uncultured bacterium. Its description in RNAcentral is "partial 16S ribosomal RNA". It matches the Rfam family "Bacterial small subunit ribosomal RNA", at positions 338 to 795 of the family's 1533-position model. The record is from RNAcentral.
CCUACGGGGUGCAGCAGUCGAGAAUCAUUCACAAUGGGGGAAACCCUGAUGGUGCGACGCCGCGUGGGGGAAUGAAGGUCUUCGGAUUGUAAACCCCUGUCAUGUGGGAGCAAAUUAAAAAGAUAGUACCACACGAGGAAGAGACGGCUAACUCUGUGCCAGCAGCCGCGGUAAUACAGAGGUCUCAAGCGUUGUUCGGAAUCACUGGGCGUAAAGCGUGCGUAGGCUGUUUCGUAAGUCGUGUGUGAAAGGCGCGGGCUCAACCCGCGGACGGCACAUGAUACUGCGAGACUAGAGUAAUGGAGGGGGAACCGGAAUGCUCGGUGUAGCAGUGAAAUGCGUAGAUAUCGAGAGGAACACUCGUGGCGAAGGCGGGUUCCUGGACAUUAACUGACGCUGAGGCACGAAGGCCAGGGGAGCGAAAGGGAUUAGAUACCCUGGUAGUC